GACGAACGCUUCCCUCUUUCUUAACACAUGCAAGUCGAACGAUGAAGCCUAGCUUGCUAGGUGGCUUAGUGGCGAACGGGUGAGUAAUACGUGAGUAACCUACCUUUAACUCUGGGAUAAGCCCGGGAAACUGGGUCUAAUACCGGAUACGACCAAUCUCCGCAUGGGGUGUUGGUGGAAAGCGUUAUGUAGUGGUUAUAGAUGGGCUCACGGCCUAUCAGCUUGUUGGUGAGGUAACGGCUCACCAAGGCGACGACGGAGAGCCGGCCUGAGAGGGUGACCGGCCACACUGGGACUGAGAGACGGCCCAGACUCCGACGGGAGGCAGCAGUGGGGAAUAUUGCACAAUGGGCGCAAGCCUGAUGCAGCGACGCCGCGUGAGGGAUGACGGCCUUCGGGUUGUAAACCUCUGUUAGCAGGGAAGAAGAGAGAUUGACGGUACCUGCAGAGAAAGCGCCGGCUAACUACGUG
Molecule: ribosomal RNA, 471 nt
Filed under: uncultured bacterium
Lineage: Bacteria
Description: partial 16S ribosomal RNA
Rfam family: Bacterial small subunit ribosomal RNA
Source: RNAcentral